Molecule: ribosomal RNA, 701 nt
Filed under: uncultured bacterium
Lineage: Bacteria
Description: bacterial SSU rRNA
Rfam family: Bacterial small subunit ribosomal RNA
Source: RNAcentral
UCUGCCUUGUAGUGGGGGAUAACUUGCCGAAAGGUAAGCUAAUACCGCAUACGCCCUAAGGGGGAAAGCAGGGGACUCUUCGGAGCCUUGCGCUAUUAGAUGAGCCUAGGUCGGAUUAGUUAGUUGGUGGGGUAAUGGCUCACCAAGACCGCGAUCCGUAACUGGUCUGAGAGGAUGAUCAGUCACACUGGAACUGAGACACGGUCCAGACUCCUACGGGAGGCAGCAGUGGGGAAUAUUGGACAAUGGGGGAAACCCUGAUCCAGCCAUGCCGCGUGUGUGAAGAAGGCCUUCGGGUUGUAAAGCACUUUAAUUUGGGAGGAAGGGCUUACGGUUAAUAACCGCUAAGUUUUGACGUUACCAAAAGAAUAAGCACCGGCUAACUUCGUGCCAGCAGCCGCGGUAAUACGAAGGGUGCGAGCGUUAAUCGGAAUUACUGGGCGUAAAGCGCGCGUAGGUGGUUCAUUAAGUUAGGAGUGAAAGCCCCGGGCUCAACCUGGGAAUUGCUUCUAAAACUGGUGAGCUAGAGUACAGUAAAGGGUGGUGGAAUUUCCUGUGUAACGGUGAAAUGCGUAGAUAUAGGAAGGAACAUCAGUGGCGAAGGCGACCACCUGGACUGAUACUGACACUGAGGUGCGAAAGCGUGGGGAGCAAACAGGAUUAAAUACCCUGGUAGUCCACGCCGUAAACGAUGUCAACUA